RNAcentral lists this ribosomal RNA (620 nucleotides) under Bacillus sp. (in: firmicutes). RNAcentral describes it as "bacterial SSU rRNA". It matches the Rfam family "Bacterial small subunit ribosomal RNA", at positions 54 to 654 of the family's 1533-position model. Lineage: Bacteria; Bacillati; Bacillota; Bacilli; Caryophanales; Bacillaceae. The record is from RNAcentral.
CAUGACAGUCGAGCGGAUCGAUGGGAGCUUGCUCUCCAUGAAGUAACCGGGCGGGACGGGGUGAGUACACGUGGGCAACCUGCCUGUAAAGACUGGGAUAACUCCGGGAACCGGGGCUAAUACCGGAUAAUUCAUGUCCUCUCAUGAGGAAAUGCUGAAGACGGUUUCGGCUGUCACUUACAGAUGGGCCCGCGGCGCAUUAGCUAGUUGGUGAGGUAACGGCUCACCAAGGCAACGAUGCGUAGCCGACCUGAGAGGGUGAUCGGCCACACUGGGACUGAGACACGGCCCAGACUCCUACGGGAGGCAGCAGUAGGGAAUCUUCCGCAAUGGACGAAAGUCUGACGGAGCAACGCCGCGUGAGCGAUGAAGGCCUUCGGGUCGUAAAGCUCUGUUGUUAGGGAAGAACAAGUAUCGGAGUAACUGCCGGUACCUUGACGGUACCUAACCAGAAAGCCACGGCUAACUACGUGCCAGCAGCCGCGGUAAUACGUAGGUGGCAAGCGUUGUCCGGAAUUAUUGGGCGUAAAGCGCGCGCAGGUGGUUCCUUAAGUCUGAUGUGAAAGCCCACGGCUCAACCGUGGAGGGUCAUUGGAAACUGGGGAACUUGAGUGCAGAAG